RNAcentral lists this long non-coding RNA (231 nucleotides) under Setaria viridis. RNAcentral describes it as "long non-coding RNA (SVIR_LNC010666)". Lineage: Eukaryota; Viridiplantae; Streptophyta; Magnoliopsida; Poales; Poaceae. The record is from RNAcentral.
GAGACUGUUGGAGGUAUGCCCUAGAGGCAAUCAUAGAGAUGAUGAUAUUCCAUUUGUAUCCAUGAUUUGUAUAUUGUGUUCAUUGAAUAUCCAUUAAAGGCUACUUGAAUUGAAUUGCAAUUAUGUGAAUUGUAUGUGAAACUCUUUACUUGUAUGGUUAUUCUAAAGUUGUCCCUAGUCGGAGUUCAUGUGAGGACACACAUGAAUAUUAGACUAGCACAUGUAUUAGUU